RNAcentral lists this ribosomal RNA (463 nucleotides) under uncultured bacterium. RNAcentral describes it as "partial 16S ribosomal RNA". It matches the Rfam family "Bacterial small subunit ribosomal RNA", at positions 28 to 507 of the family's 1533-position model. The record is from RNAcentral.
GACGAACGCUGGCGGCGUGCUUAACACAUGCAAGUCGAACGGAAAGGCCUUUUCGGUGGUACUCGAGUGGCGCACGGGUGAGUAACACGUGGGUGAUCUGCCCUGCACUCUGGGAUAAGCCUGGGAAACUGGGUCUAAUACCGGAUAGGACCGCACUUUAGUGUGUGUGGUGGAAAGUUUUUUCGGUGUAGGAUGAGCCCGCGGCCUAUCAGCUUGUUGGUGGGGUAAUGGCCUACCAAGGCGGCGACGGGUAGCCGGACUGAGAGGUUGGUCGGCCACAUUGGGACUGAGAUACGGCCCAGACCCCUACGGGAGGCAGCAGUGGGGAAUAUUGCACAAUGGGCGCAAGCCUGAUGCAGGGACGCCGCGGGGGGGAUGACGGCCUUCGGGUUGUAAACUCCUUUCGCCAGGGACGAAGCGUUUUGUGACGGUACCUGGAGAAGAAGCACCGGCUAACUACGUG